UACGUAGGGUGCGAGCGUUGUCCGGAAUUAUUGGGCGUAAAGAGCUCGUAGGCGGUUCGUCGCGUCGGCUGUGAAAUCCCGAGGCUCAACCUCGGGUCUGCAGUCGAUACGGGCGGACUGGAGUUCGGCAGGGGAGACUGGAAUUCCUGGUGUAGCGGUGAAAUGCGCAGAUAUCAGGAGGAACACCGGUGGCGAAGGCGGAUCUCCUGGGCCGUAACUGACGCUGAGGAGCGAAAGCAUGGGGAGCGAACAGG
This 254-nucleotide ribosomal RNA is filed under the name uncultured bacterium. RNAcentral's name for it is "partial 16S ribosomal RNA". It matches the Rfam family "Bacterial small subunit ribosomal RNA", at positions 524 to 776 of the family's 1533-position model. The record is from RNAcentral.